GACGGUGUGAUGGGAUAAUGAUAGAUAAGAUCAUUAUAUUGUGCCUGCUGCGUAAGCUUUUACAGUGUGGGAUCGGAGUAUGGUUUUUUUUGGUUGUCGCACCAAACAAACAAUGAUGGAUCUCUCUUUAAAUAUAGGGAACAGAAAAGGGAGAAGAGAGCAAUAUAAUAAUGCAACAAUUCACAUUGUCCAUGUAAAACUUGACAAACCGAGAUAGAAAUAUAUAUGUUGUGCUAGUAUGUAGCUGCCAUGACAGUACGUGUUCGUGAUCGUAGAAGUGAAUAGCAGAAAAAUGUCCUAUGGGACUCUGGAAGGCAUCGUGAAACAAUGUUCUAUUAUCAAACUUGGGGAUCCUGGUCUUUGGGCACAAUUUCGUGUUGAAACAUGCAUGUUUUCAUUGAUAA
RNAcentral lists this long non-coding RNA (404 nucleotides) under Setaria viridis. Its description in RNAcentral is "long non-coding RNA (SVIR_LNC001982)". The record is from RNAcentral. Lineage: Eukaryota; Viridiplantae; Streptophyta; Magnoliopsida; Poales; Poaceae.